This is a long non-coding RNA of Topomyia yanbarensis, 1745 nucleotides long. RefSeq lists it as uncharacterized. The transcript is spliced from 2 exons. NCBI's taxonomy places the organism in Eukaryota, Metazoa, Arthropoda, Insecta, Diptera, Culicidae. The record is from RefSeq and is a predicted model, not a curated record.
GUUGUCAUAGACGUCAAAUUUUCAUGAACAGACUAUCUAUUCACGUUGAAUUUUUUCGAGUUUUGUAAGAAAUCAUUUAUUGGCUGGAAGCUUGACUGUAGUUACAUUAUCAAAGAAUUGAGCCUUUUGAAAUCCUUCAACUAUCAAUUGGAAAUGCUGGCAAAAGUCCAUGGAACAUAAAAUAAAGUCGAACUUGUACGGGUAGUCUAGUGAAUUUCCAAAAGGGAAGUUGUUCCCCGUUGGGAAAGAUUUCGCACCCUAAUUUGAUCAGAGUAGAAAGGAAACAGAUGCCUUCUUCUUCUUGUGUGCUGUGCCUUCUUCUUCCAAAAAUGGACAAUAGCUGCUGGCAAUAGACAUUGGUUCAUAUCGUACCAGUUCAGAGAUGCCAGAUUUGCAGACAAGUCUGCAAAUUCGCAGACUUUUAAUUUAAGCUGCAGAUUUUUUCGAUGACGCAGAUAUUUGCAGAUUUUCUAGUUUGGUUGCAGAUAUUUGCAGAUUUUUUAGUUUUGUUGCAGAUAUUUGCAGAUUUUUGAAUAUAAAGGCUUUUGGUUACACUAGCUUUCCUGACAUUUUUGUUCUUCCCAGACUUUUAAAAUUAUUAUCGCAGACAUUUGAAAAAAGUACCUGGCAUCUCUGUACCAGUUAUGAGAUUCUUUUCUUCUCUCACACGCGCUGGUAAGCGAAGGAGAUACAGGAAAAGAUGAGUUUUGUUCCCGUACUGGUGGGUUAAGCCAUUAAAUGAUGUAUGAAUCAGACUACCCGAGGAAUGUCCUGGUUCAAGUAAUAUAUACAUUCAUGCCAGGGAAACAGUUCUAUCGAUGCGUAAUCUUCAGAUUUAGUUCAUAAUUACUAUUUGUGUAAAUAGUGUAGAAUGCAUUGCUUCCUGUAAGAGAGAUAGUUGUAUAUGGUAGACUCGAGCGAGAGAAGAGUGUUACGGUUCAAAUAUCGCGAGAAAAUAAAUCCGAAAUAUGCUUUUAUGAUGCAUAUUCACAGUUUCUUUGGAUUUUUCUAAUCUUAGCAAUAAGAAACAGACAAUAGAUACCUAAAAAAUGUUACUCAGACUGAAUUGCCUUUAACAGUUCGUUGCCAUUUAUAUAUACUAUAUUGAAAAAUGUAAAUAUUGAGCGACUCUACUGAAGGUGAUGGUAAGUUUUCACUAUUACGCGCUUUUUAAUGUUGGACUGACAAAUAGUUUUAAAAUCAGUGCUGAAAAAAGGUUAAUAAAAUGCUUGAUGUUUGUUUACAUUUUUCUGAUCUUUCUCAAAACUUAUGUAGAGGGCACCUCAGUACAUUUGAAGAUUUCCAUGCACAAUAGCACUAAGAUUCCUGCAGUAUCGACACUUGCCUCCACUGAACGACAAUCGAAUCCAUCGCUAGAACUGUAACGAAAGAUCACUUGUAUAUAACUGCUCGAUAUAGCGCAUCAAUGUAGGUAGUCUGCUCCCUCAUACGAUCAAAUGGAAUAACCCUCCAGUUCGGGUAAUAUGGGAAACCAAAGUAAUCUCGAUGGAUCGUCCCCAGAGAAGGAUGUGUUCCAUUAAGAUAUAAGCAUUUGUUGGUUCCUAUUGAAAACAAAACAAGAAAAAAAAACACCAUUACUGGGUAAGACCUAUAUACGAGUCCUUUGCCAGCGCAAGAUCGUAAAGCUCGUUUUAAGCUUUAAGAGAGAAGAAACAGUGAGAGGUGCGGUACAAAAUAAUAAUAAAUGUUUGAGUUGCAGUUUGCGUUUCGAACCAAAGCUCAAA